RNAcentral lists this ribosomal RNA (2903 nucleotides) under Klebsiella aerogenes. RNAcentral describes it as "bacterial LSU rRNA". It matches the Rfam family "Bacterial large subunit ribosomal RNA". Lineage: Bacteria; Pseudomonadati; Pseudomonadota; Gammaproteobacteria; Enterobacterales; Enterobacteriaceae. The record is from RNAcentral.
UUAAGCGACUAAGCGUACACGGUGGAUGCCCUGGCAGUCAGAGGCGAUGAAGGACGUGCUAAUCUGCGAAAAGCGUCGGUAAGGUGAUAUGAACCGUUACAGCCGGCGAUGUCCGAAUGGGGAAACCCAGUGCAAUUCGUUGCACUAUCGUUAACUGAAUACAUAGGUUAACGAGGCGAACCGGGGGAACUGAAACAUCUAAGUACCCCGAGGAAAAGAAAUCAACCGAGAUUCCCCCAGUAGCGGCGAGCGAACGGGGAGCAGCCCAGAGUCUGAAUCAGCUUGUGUGUUAGUGGAACGGUCUGGAAAGUCCGACGGUACAGGGUGAUAGUCCCGUACACCAAAAUGCACAGGUUGUGAACUCGAAGAGUAGGGCGGGACACGUGGUAUCCUGUCUGAAUAUGGGGGGACCAUCCUCCAAGGCUAAAUACUCCUGACUGACCGAUAGUGAACCAGUACCGUGAGGGAAAGGCGAAAAGAACCCCGGCGAGGGGAGUGAAAAAGAACCUGAAACCGUGUACGUACAAGCAGUGGGAGCACCUUCGGGUGUGACUGCGUACCUUUUGUAUAAUGGGUCAGCGACUUAUAUUCUGUAGCAAGGUUAACCGUAUAGGGGAGCCGCAGGGAAACCGAGUCUUAACUGGGCGUUAAGUUGCAGGGUAUAGACCCGAAACCCGGUGAUCUAGCCAUGGGCAGGUUGAAGGUUGGGUAACACUAACUGGAGGACCGAACCGACUAAUGUUGAAAAAUUAGCGGAUGACUUGUGGCUGGGGGUGAAAGGCCAAUCAAACCGGGAGAUAGCUGGUUCUCCCCGAAAGCUAUUUAGGUAGCGCCUCGUGAAUUCAUCUUCGGGGGUAGAGCACUGUUUCGGCUAGGGGGUCAUCCCGACUUACCAACCCGAUGCAAACUACGAAUACCGAAGAAUGUUAUCACGGGAGACACACGGCGGGUGCUAACGUCCGUCGUGAAGAGGGAAACAACCCAGACCGCCAGCUAAGGUCCCAAAGUCACAGUUAAGUGGGAAACGAUGUGGGAAGGCACAGACAGCCAGGAUGUUGGCUUAGAAGCAGCCAUCAUUUAAAGAAAGCGUAAUAGCUCACUGGUCGAGUCGGCCUGCGCGGAAGAUGUAACGGGGCUAAACUGUGCACCGAAGCUGCGGCAGCGACACUUAGGUGUUGUUGGGUAGGGGAGCGUUCUGUAAGCCUGCGAAGGUGGCCUGUGAGGGUUGCUGGAGGUAUCAGAAGUGCGAAUGCUGACAUAAGUAACGAUAAUGCGGGUGAAAAGCCCGCACGCCGGAAGACCAAGGGUUCCUGUCCAACGUUAAUCGGGGCAGGGUGAGUCGACCCCUAAGGCGAGGCCGAAAGGCGUAGUCGAUGGGAAACAGGUUAAUAUUCCUGUACUUGGUGUUACUGCGAAGGGGGGACGGAGAAGGCUAUGUUAGCCGGGCGACGGUUGUCCCGGUUUAAGCAUGUAGGCGGAGGUUCCAGGUAAAUCCGGUACCUUUUAACGCUGAGGUGUGAUGACGAGGCACUACGGUGCUGAAGUAACAAAUGCCCUGCUUCCAGGAAAAGCCUCUAAGCAUCAGGUAACAUUGAAUCGUACCCCAAACCGACACAGGUGGUCAGGUAGAGAAUACCAAGGCGCUUGAGAGAACUCGGGUGAAGGAACUAGGCAAAAUGGUGCCGUAACUUCGGGAGAAGGCACGCUGAUAUGUAGGUGAAGCCCCUGCGGGUGGAGCUGAAAUCAGUCGAAGAUACCAGCUGGCUGCAACUGUUUAUUAAAAACACAGCACUGUGCAAACACGAAAGUGGACGUAUACGGUGUGACGCCUGCCCGGUGCCGGAAGGUUAAUUGAUGGGGUUAUCCGUAAGGAGAAGCUCUUGAUCGAAGCCCCGGUAAACGGCGGCCGUAACUAUAACGGUCCUAAGGUAGCGAAAUUCCUUGUCGGGUAAGUUCCGACCUGCACGAAUGGCGUAAUGAUGGCCAGGCUGUCUCCACCCGAGACUCAGUGAAAUUGAACUCGCUGUGAAGAUGCAGUGUACCCGCGGCAAGACGGAAAGACCCCGUGAACCUUUACUAUAGCUUGACACUGAACAUUGAGCCUUGAUGUGUAGGAUAGGUGGGAGGCUUUGAAGCGUGGACGCCAGUCUGCGUGGAGCCAACCUUGAAAUACCACCCUUUAAUGUUUGAUGUUCUAACGUUGGCCCCUGACCGGGGUUGCGGACAGUGUCUGGUGGGUAGUUUGACUGGGGCGGUCUCCUCCCAAAGAGUAACGGAGGAGCACGAAGGUUAGCUAAUCCUGGUCGGACAUCAGGAGGUUAGUGCAAUGGCAUAAGCUAGCUUGACUGCGAGCGUGACGGCGCGAGCAGGUGCGAAAGCAGGUCAUAGUGAUCCGGUGGUUCUGAAUGGAAGGGCCAUCGCUCAACGGAUAAAAGGUACUCCGGGGAUAACAGGCUGAUACCGCCCAAGAGUUCAUAUCGACGGCGGUGUUUGGCACCUCGAUGUCGGCUCAUCACAUCCUGGGGCUGAAGUAGGUCCCAAGGGUAUGGCUGUUCGCCAUUUAAAGUGGUACGCGAGCUGGGUUUAGAACGUCGUGAGACAGUUCGGUCCCUAUCUGCCGUGGGCGCUGGAGAAUUGAGGGGGGCUGCUCCUAGUACGAGAGGACCGGAGUGGACGCAUCACUGGUGUUCGGGUUGUCAUGCCAAUGGCAUUGCCCGGUAGCUAAAUGCGGAAGAGAUAAGUGCUGAAAGCAUCUAAGCACGAAACUUGCCCCGAGAUGAGUUCUCCCUGACUCCUUGAGAGUCCUGAAGGAACGUUAAAGACGAUGACGUUGAUAGGUCGGGUGUGUAAGCGUAGCGAUACGUUGAGCUAACCGAUACUAAUGAACCGUGAGGCUUAACCUU